Molecule: ribosomal RNA, 253 nt
Filed under: uncultured bacterium
Lineage: Bacteria
Description: partial 16S ribosomal RNA
Rfam family: Bacterial small subunit ribosomal RNA
Source: RNAcentral
UACGUAGGGACCAAGCGUUGUUCGGAUUUACUGGGCGUAAAGGGCGCGUAGGCGGCGUGGUAAGUCACUUGUGAAAUCUCCGAGCUUAACUCGGAACGGUCAAGUGAUACUGCUGUGCUAGAGUACAGAAGGGGCAAUCGGAAUUCUUGGUGUAGCGGUGAAAUGCGUAGAUAUCAAGAGGAACACCUGAGGUGAAGACGGGUUGCUGGGCUGAUACUGACGCUGAGGCGCGAAAGCGUGGGGAGCGAACAGG